AUUGAACGCUGGCGGCAGGCCUAACACAUGCAAGUCGAGCGGAUGAAGGGAGCUUGCUCCUGGAUUCAGCGGCGGACGGGUGAGUAAUGCCUAGGAAUCUGCCUGGUAGUGGGGGAUAACGUCCGGAAACGGGCGCUAAUACCGCAUACGUCCUGAGGGAGAAAGUGGGGGAUCUUCGGACCUCACGCUAUCAGAUGAGCCUAGGUCGGAUUAGGUAGUUGGUGGGGUAAAGGCCUACCAAGGCGACGAUCCGUAACUGGUCUGAGAGGAUGAUCAGUCACACUGGAACUGAGACACGGUCCAGACUCCUACGGGAGGCAGCAGUGGGGAAUAUUGGACAAUGGGCGAAAGCCUGAUCCAGCCAUGCCGCGUGUGUGAAGAAGGUCUUCGGAUUGUAAAGCACUUUAAGUUGGGAGGAAGGGCAGUAAGUUAAUACCUUGCUGUUUUGACGUUACCAACAGAAUAAGCACCGGCUAACUUCGUG
RNAcentral lists this ribosomal RNA (484 nucleotides) under uncultured bacterium. Its description in RNAcentral is "partial 16S ribosomal RNA". It matches the Rfam family "Bacterial small subunit ribosomal RNA", at positions 30 to 507 of the family's 1533-position model. The record is from RNAcentral.